GGUGGAGAGGGAGGAUAAGAGGGAGGUGACUGAUGGAGGAGGUGGAGAGGGAGGAGGAGAGGGAGGUGACUGAUGGAGGAGGUGGAGAGGGAGGAUAAGAGGGAGGUGACUGAUGGAGGAGGAGAGGGAGGUGACUGAUGGAGGAGGUGGAGAGGGAGGUGACUGAUGGAGGAGGUGGAGAUGGAGGUGACUGAUGGAGGAGGUGGAGAAGGAGGUGACUGAUGGCGGAGGUGGAGAGGGAGGAUAAGAGGGAGGUGACUGAUGGAGGAGGUGGAGAGGGAGGUGACUGAUGGAGGAGGUGAGGGAGGUGACUGAUGGCGGAGGUGGAGAGGGAGGUGACUGAUGGCGGAGGUGGAGAGGGAGGUGACUGGAGGAGGAGAGGGAGGUGACUGAUGGAGGAGGUGGAGAGGGAGGUGACUGAUGGCGGAGGUGGAGAGGGAGGUGACUGAUGGCGGAGGUGACUGAUGGAGGAGGAGAGAGGGAGGUGACUGAUGGAGGAGGAGAGGGAGGUGACUGAUGGAGGAGGUGGAGAGGGAGGUGACUGAUGGAGGAGGUGGAGAGGGAGGUGACUGAUGGCAUAGGAGGAGAGAGGGAGGCUUUGAUUUAUUUUGAUUUAUAGAUGUUUAUUAUUUAUUUUUCUAUUUAAUUUUAAUAUUGCAGUGUGCUAAAAGG
This is a long non-coding RNA of Clupea harengus (Atlantic herring), 672 nucleotides long. NCBI's taxonomy places the organism in Eukaryota, Metazoa, Chordata, Actinopteri, Clupeiformes, Clupeidae. The record is from Ensembl.